This 420-nucleotide ribosomal RNA is filed under the name uncultured archaeon. Its description in RNAcentral is "partial 16S ribosomal RNA". It matches the Rfam family "Archaeal small subunit ribosomal RNA", at positions 323 to 746 of the family's 1478-position model. The record is from RNAcentral.
CUACGGGCUGCUCCAGUUAGGUAUAAUCUACAAUGCGCGAAAGCGUGAUAGUUUGAAUCAGAGUGCGUUUCUAUGAAAUGCUUUUGCCAAGUUUAAAACGCUUGGCGAAUAAGGACUGGGUAAGACGAGUGCCAGCCGCCGCGGUAAUACUCGCGGUCCAAGUCGCAGCCAUUUUUAUUGGGUCUAAAACAUCCGUAGCUUGUUUCUUAAGUUCCUUGUGAAAUCCUAUCUCUCAAGGGUAGGGCGCGCAAGGAGUACUGGGAAGCUAGAGACUGGGAGACGUAACGAGUACGUUUGAGGUAGCGGUAAAAUGUGUUAAUCUCAAGCGGACUAACAAUAGCGAAGGCACGUUACGAGAACAGUUCUGACAGUAAGGGAUGAAGGCCAGGGGCGCAAAACGGAUUAGAUACCCUAGUAGUC